GUUGACCUCGGAUCAGGUAGGAAUACCCGCUGAACUU
Molecule: ribosomal RNA, 37 nt
Filed under: Fusarium fujikuroi
Lineage: Eukaryota; Fungi; Ascomycota; Sordariomycetes; Hypocreales; Nectriaceae
Also listed under: 14 other names
Description: partial 28S ribosomal RNA
Source: RNAcentral